Molecule: long non-coding RNA, 1216 nt
Organism: Gasterosteus aculeatus aculeatus (three-spined stickleback)
Lineage: Eukaryota; Metazoa; Chordata; Actinopteri; Perciformes; Gasterosteidae
Source: Ensembl
CGCUGUCGAGCCGGUAAGUUGGUCCCUCGCAUGCUCCCUAGCUAACAUGCUAAUGAACAGUUAGCUCACAUUGUUUAUUCUGGUAAACCGCUAUAAAAGCUGGAUGACACGAGGUGUCCUUUCCGAGGACACUAACCCCUCUAUGUUCAUCGAAGUCACAGCUAAACAGAAGCAGCGUUCAGUUUAUCUGCUCCACAUAUCAGGAACAAAGUCCCAGACAGCUGCAGGUCUGCGGAGUCCCUCAACUCCUUUAAAUGCUGAUUUCUUUAUAUUAUCUUGUAUGUUUUAAUCAUUGUCCUUAACUGUUAAGUUUAGAUGUAUUCAAUGUUAAACACUUUGAAUGACCUUUUUUGUUAUGAAGUGCUACGCAAAUGCUUUACCAACAUUUAUAACAAAUACCACAGAGUUAACACACACAACCUCAUGCUAUUAUUGAAAAACCUUCUCACCUUACCUUGGACGUCUUGAGUUUUGUGAACCUAGGCUUCUCAACAAGUAAACUACCCAGUUAGUGCAUUUCCGUGAGGGAGUAUGUGUGAAUCGCUCCGUAUACGAGUACUCCAGAACUGGUUGUACAGAUACUCUCUGUGAAAGGCUGCGACGUGUCACAACCAUCCAAAACGAAAGCUGAUCUGUGCUGUUUGCAGAAGGCGUAACCACAUGAACCACAUUUUUGUUUAAUCAGCAUGUGAGCAUGAAUGUACUUUUUAAAGUUAUGAUCUGUUUAUUAAUGAUCCGUCUAAAUAUCUCAAUGUUUGGGCAUUUAUUUACUGCAGCUUUCUUCUAUUUAUCUGCCAUAAGUGUUGUAACAAUCUGUGAAGACCAGUGAGGUGAAUGUUUCUCUUCUCUUCCUCAGGUGAACGCGGCGCCACCAGGUGACUGAAAUAAAGACUUUAAAUAUGUGAAGUAUUUACUGAGAAAAACAAACGAGACGUUUAGAUAUACUGAUGAAUGAAACAGAGUGAACGUUGUAUUGUUUGUUUCUUGAGUACUUGAGUGAGAAGUUUUGUCAGAAUAAAUGCGUAAAUAUGAGCACUUCUACAAGCCGUCAUUGGCGGACUAUGAGGACGCGCGGAUGGCAUCUAAUGCACGGAGGGAGAUCGCCGCAAACGCCGGGUUUGCCCGUCGAGGGGAACAAAGUUGUGGAGGAAAAUACGGGACAAAUGUGUCCGCGAUGAAAAGCAGCAGAGGCGAUGCACGAGGCAAUAAAGUCUAU